GGAGAUAUGGCUCAAGUGGUAGAGCACCUGCCUAGAAAGCACGUGGCCUAUUGCCA
RNAcentral lists this transfer RNA (56 nucleotides) under Dipodomys ordii (Ord's kangaroo rat). The record is from Rfam by way of RNAcentral. Lineage: Eukaryota; Metazoa; Chordata; Mammalia; Rodentia; Heteromyidae.